Molecule: long non-coding RNA, 767 nt
Organism: Hippocampus comes (tiger tail seahorse)
Lineage: Eukaryota; Metazoa; Chordata; Actinopteri; Syngnathiformes; Syngnathidae
Exons: 3
Source: RefSeq, a predicted model, not a curated record
CCUGUAGUGACGUUUGUUUGUGCAAGACAAAAACAGUGUGAACACACGUAAUGUAUGUUGUAUUUUUGGAAGAGAACUGGCUGAACUUGAAGAUUGGUCGAUUCAACCAACGCGUUCGGGUUGAAAGAACGCGAGUCCCCGUUGUGUAUUCGCUGAACGGAGAGAAAAAGGAGUUCGACACCAGCGGAUGGACGGAGCGAGUCGGGAACAAAACAAACAGUGCACUCUGCAUGACCACGCUCGACUGGCUGAAUCAUUCCCACACUAGCCGACUACUUCACACUCGCCGCGGGGCCAUUUGAUUGUGUACGGUUGGCGUAUCACAACAAUAACAUUAACGGAAUAUUCCUCGGGGAGAUUUUGAGCGUUACGUCACAAGCUAUCUGAGUUGAACGACUGAGUGGAGAAUGUGAAGCACAACCAUGGCCAACUUGGAAGCCUACCGGGAGUAUCAGAGGAUUGAGGACCUGGAGGAGGACUCUCCACCCGGGGAGGAGGACUUGCUGCUCCAUGUGCCUGAAGGCCUGAAAGAUUCAUGGCACCACAUCAAGAACUUGGAUAACUUCUUCACUCGAAUAUCCUGGUCUGUUUUUCUGUGACGUGUGCUAUUGCAUUGAGCCUUAUGGACGCAGAUUUACUAGUUAAGUCAGUGGAACCCCAAAGUGCAACAGAAUCAUUCUGUGAUGCCGGAUGGCUUAAGAUCUUCUAAAAAUAAAAAAAAUCAAUAAAGGAGACCUAACUGUCACCUUGAUAGAUAGAUCAAGUAU